CAGACGAGGAGCUUGCUCCUCUGACGUUAGCGGCGGACGGGUGAGUAACACGUGGAUAACCUACCUAUAAGACUGGGAUAACUUCGGGAAACCGGAGCUAAUACCGGAUAAUAUAUUGAACCGCAUGGUUCAAUAGUGAAAGACGGUUUUGCUGUCACUUAUAGAUGGAUCCGCGCCGCAUUAGCUAGUUGGUAAGGUAACGGCUUACCAAGGCAACGAUGCGUAGCCGACCUGAGAGGGUGAUCGGCCACACUGGAACUGAGACACGGUCCAGACUCCUACGGGAGGGAGCAGUAGGGAAUCUUCCGCAAUGGGCGAAAGCCUGACGGAGCAACGCCGCGUGAGUGAUGAAGGUCUUCGGAUCGUAAAACUCUGUUAUUAGGGAA
Molecule: ribosomal RNA, 386 nt
Filed under: uncultured Staphylococcus sp.
Lineage: Bacteria; Bacillati; Bacillota; Bacilli; Caryophanales; Staphylococcaceae
Description: bacterial SSU rRNA
Rfam family: Bacterial small subunit ribosomal RNA
Source: RNAcentral